CUCCUCUCCUCCCUCACCUUGGCAUCCACAGAUCUGUCCCUCGCAGUACCGCUCUGUAAUUCCUUGGCUUUGAUAGCCACACUGGUGACUGGGAAGAUUCUGGGAGAGGACAUUGGCGGCAAAAGGGCUGUGGCAGG
Molecule: long non-coding RNA, 137 nt
Organism: Egretta garzetta (little egret)
Lineage: Eukaryota; Metazoa; Chordata; Aves; Pelecaniformes; Ardeidae
Exons: 3
Source: RefSeq, a predicted model, not a curated record